This 836-nucleotide ribosomal RNA is filed under the name uncultured Sulfurovum sp. RNAcentral's name for it is "bacterial SSU rRNA". It matches the Rfam family "Bacterial small subunit ribosomal RNA", at positions 524 to 1360 of the family's 1533-position model. Lineage: Bacteria; Pseudomonadati; Campylobacterota; Epsilonproteobacteria; Campylobacterales; Sulfurovaceae. The record is from RNAcentral.
UACGGAGGGUGCAAGCGUUACUCGGAAUCACUGGGCGUAAAGCGCGCGCAGGCGGCUAGAUAAGUUGGAAGUGAAAUCCUAUGGCUCAACCAUAGAACUGCUUCCAAAACUGUUUAGCUAAAGUCUGGGAGGGGAAGAUGGAAUUAGUAGUGUAGGGGUAAAAUCCGUAGAGAUUACUAGGAAUACCAAAAGCGAAGGCGAUCCUCUGGAACAGUACUGACGCUGAGGCGCGAAAGCGUGGGGAGCAAACAGGAUUAGAUACCCUGGUAGUCCACGCCCUAAACGAUGAAUGUUAGUCGUCGGGACUCUAGUAGUUUCGGUGAUGCAGUUAACACAUUAAACAUUCCGCCUGGGGAGUACGGUCGCAAGAUUAAAACUCAAAGGAAUAGACGGGGACCCGCACAAGUGGUGGAGCAUGUGGUUUAAUUCGAAGAUACGCGAAGAACCUUACCUAGCCUUGACAUAUUUUAGAACUCCGCAGAGAUGUAGAGGUGCCUUCGGGAGCUAAUAUACAGGUGCUGCACGGCUGUCGUCAGCUCGUGUCGUGAGAUGUUGGGUUAAGUCCCGCAACGAGCGCAACCCUCGUUCUUAGUUACUAACGGUUCGGCCGAGGACUCUAAGAAGACUGCCUUCGUAAGGAGGAGGAAGGUGAGGACGACGUCAAGUCAUCAUGGCCCUUACGGCUAGGGCAACACACGUGCUACAAUGGUUAGGACAAUGAGACGCAAUACCGCGAGGUGGAGCAAAUCUAUAAACCUAAUCUCAGUUCGGAUUGUAGUCUGCAACUCGACUACAUGAAGCUGGAAUCACUAGUAAUCGUAGAUCAGCUAUGCUAC